Firmicutes bacterium CAG:345 is the source of this 315-nucleotide non-coding RNA. It matches the Rfam family "Bacterial RNase P class B". From Rfam's summary of the family: Ribonuclease P (RNase P) is a ubiquitous endoribonuclease, found in archaea, bacteria and eukarya as well as chloroplasts and mitochondria. NCBI's taxonomy places the organism in Bacteria, Bacillati, Bacillota. The record is from Rfam.
CGGUCCGGAUGACAGCUAGGAAACUAGAGGAAAGUCCAUGCUCGCACUUUCUGAGAUGAAAGUAGUGUUUGUGCCAAAGGAAAAAAUAACUUUGGGCAGGGAGGAGUCCCUGACGGCGGAAGAUUUCCUGAAAUGGAAUAUUCUGUAACGCUCCACAGUGACGAAUCAGGUGGAAACAUCUGGGUGAAACGCGGAAAGCCCCUCAAGCGAGAAACCUAAAUUUUGGUAAGGGAAGUCAAAAGCGGGAAUCAAACUGCAAUUGGCAAGCUUCGGCUUAGAUAAAUUGUCGUCCUCGACAAAACAUGGCUUAUAGGA